This 360-nucleotide long non-coding RNA is filed under the name Marmota monax (woodchuck). The record is from RNAcentral. Lineage: Eukaryota; Metazoa; Chordata; Mammalia; Rodentia; Sciuridae.
CCUCAGCACCACAUAAAAAUAAAAGUAUUGUGUCCAUCUACAACUAAGAAAAAAAAAUACACAGGUGGUUUUACUGAGCCAUAAAGAAGAACGAAAAUUAUGGUAUUUUUAGGAAUAGAUCUAAAGAGAUACAAUGUUAAAUGAAAUAAGCCAGACUCCGAAAGUAUUGAAUGUUUUCUCUCAUAUGUGAAAGCUAGAGAAGAAGAAUGUCUUGAAGGCAGAAGGGAGACUAUUAGGGUUAAGGAAAGAGGCUAAGGUGGAGAUAUCGGGGAGUGAAAUUGAUCACAUUGUAUUAUAUGCAUGUAUAAAUAUGGUACAGUGAAAGUCAUUAUUCUGUACAAUUAUGUACCCAUAAAAAAG